GUCAUAACGUCAAGAGCCGCGGAAGGCUACGUCACAGUGGUUACGUCACAGUGCCUAGGUCAUAGUGCUUACCGCGUUCACGUCGCUUCCUCUCAUCGUGGGGGCAUUUUAUCACCUGACGACAAACACCACGGCAACACGUAGGAUGUUUUCGUUUCAUCCGUUAAAGCUGAAAUCGAGUCUGGGAUGCAUUUUUGAGGCUCUUACCAAGAUGUCAUAAGAAACCCCAAUGGAGGCCAUGGCCUAAGUGCUCUCCACUUCUUGUCUGCUGCCUCCUGACUACUCUGGAGUUUCUCCAUAAUGGUGCUGGGUGGUGUGCUCUGUCUCCUGUCUCUAGGACCUAUGGGAAGCAGGAGCUACCUAAGAUACUGUUACUGAGGAUGAACUCAGUACAUUGAAUUACUACUGGGGCAACUCUCCUUUUUCCCAGUGGCAUUGGCUCCAUCCAUUGAACAGAUAAGGAGCCGAGGCACACAAGAUGGGCCUCAGAAAAUGAUGUUUCUGCUUUCCUUUGCCCUGUCUUGAUGAUCAAAGAGGGUGUUAGGAGCCCAGCUGAACCGGAAGUAAAAUGGCCUGUGACUCAGAACCAGUCCUGAGGAGUAAAAAUCCAAUUCUGUUAAAAACGGGUACAUAAUCCACUGUGUGGUGAAAAGAGCCCUGAGCUAAUCAGAAGACACGGGUUAAUGGUUCUGGUUUUUUUCAUUUAACCAGGCUUCAGCUGUCAAGUUUACACCCCAGACUCUCAAGAGAAGAAAGAAGGGGAAAAAAGGCCCACAUCUACACUGGGCUGACUCCCUUUAAAGAGACUUCUCAGCUGUCCCACACCAUAAUUCUGCUUUCAUCUCACUAGUCCAAACUCAGUGUCAAAGUCACCUCUAACUGCAAAAGAGGCUUGGAAAUGCAGUGCUUCAGCUGGUGAUGCAUUCCUAACACGAGUGAACUCAACAAAGGACAUGAGUAGAUCCGAGAAGCACCAAGAAUGAUUGUAGCCGAUGCCUUUGCUUCCCAUCAGCUAUCCUCUCAGGUCUCAUUGUUCCCAGACACACCUGCAGGAAAACACGAUAGAGAAAGACACAGAGGGCCCCCAAGCUGCAGAUCCUGCCAGAAUUCUAAGGCGUUUUACGUGAACUACAUGAAGAAGUCGACAAGACCAACGAUAUUUAUAAGUGUUCUCUGUUGUAAGAUAUAUUUUGAUAUAAUUAACAACAGUUCUGAGAAAACGGGCAGGACGUUUGAGGAAACAGGCAGGAGAGGACAACUGGCUGGAAAGAGGCAGAUGAAGAGUUCCAUCUGGCAAAGAUAGAGCACAAAAGAUAAUCUGGGUCACAUUUUGGAGCUAUUGAUUAAGAGGUAACCAACAAAUACUAACAGAUUUCCCACUCAGAAGAGGGAGAUUUACUUAUUUUGGCCCAGAGGCUAAAGUCAAGGCUAUAGGUGGCUCUCCGUGGACUCCUCUGGAACAUUGUGGAUGGGAAAAUAAGCAGUACUCGUGGAGGUAAUGUGUCAGGCAAGGCUCGUCUCGGGCAACAACCACUUUCCUCUGCAGUGACCCCCAUUUCGCUUGUGGAUCAAAAAGACGUAGCCAGGAAAAGUGAGGACUGGGACUGGGCACCCGGGGUGGGGCCGAGCUGAGCCAUCGAUCAGAAGGAACACAAGUACAGUCCACACAGGGCAGUUCUGCAGCAUUUGCUCUCCAGCCUUUUGCUUCCUCUGACUGCAUUCAUCGUUGCCUUACCAGGGGUUAGAUCAAUCUAUUGCCUUUAAAGCUUGUGGUAAAGCAUCUCUUUUGAAGAAUGUGCUCUGAGGGAGAGAUCAUACUUCUUUAAAACCACCUUCUGUCGGUCUGUUUGUCCAAUGCAGGUUUCCCAGAUGCCUCAUUAGACUUUCAUUCCAAGAGCUGGCUUUCAGACCACAUUGAGCAAAUCCUCUUAAAGGUGUUAGUUGGCAUAUCAUCUUGUUAGAAGUUUCUAGAGAAGAGAAAAGUCUACUAAAUUCAGAGACAUUCUUUCCUAAUAUUGGAAUUCAAGCACCGUGACAAGUCUAUGAGAGAGAGAAAUUGUUCUCGAAGCCUGCCAUACCCAAAACGGUUUAGACUGCUUUCACAUUCCGAUACUCGACUAAAGAGUUAAUGAAGACUGUGUCUUAGCACCGGUGGUAUUUAUUUAACGUGCACUGUAAUCCCAGCUGACACUUCCUAAUGAGUUUAUUGCUGCUGUGGAGUUAAAGCUCCCCCACUCAAUAAGCAUAAACUUGAGUGUCAAAAAUGAAACAUAGUCGGCCCUGGUGCUUAAAUGGCCUGUAUCGAUCCUCCGGCAGUCUAACUGCUGUAGUCUGGUGCCAGUUCUCUAAUUUGUGCCCUGAAGUGUGCAGCCACACUUGAUUUAGAUGUCAGAAUGAGGCAGCACUCAGUUUGAGAAAUCAGCUGAAACAUUCUUAAAAAAAUUGGUCUGGAUAGCUUCACCUUGCAUUGUCAAGAUCAUUGCUCUCGUGUAAACAAGGGGCUAAAUAAUAUCAUUCCCAUAGACUUUUUUGAGGGUGUUUUAUCAAAGGAAAUGUCCUCAGAGUCAAAGCUUGCUGUGUUUUGUGCUUUAUCUGUACAGAAAAUUCCAUUUAGAGAAAUUUAAUGCCAAAGCUGUAAGAUCUGCAUUCCUAGAGAAUGACUAUUUAGGGCAUUGUCUUUGAAUAUGAAGUAAACACACACUGAGAAUGUUUGUAUGAGGUUCUUUCAAUGGCCAAGAUAUGCUCACUAUUCCUAGGAGUCAAAAGGACUCAGACAACUUAAAGAUGUGUGGCAUCUGCAAAACACCCCUAUGUUCAUAGCUAUAUUCCUGUCUCAGAGAAAUCAUCUGCCAUUUCCAAUGACAUCAAAGACGGUGGUUGAAGAGCUAACAGCAGGAAGGUCAGCCAAAUUUCUACUUAACACUGGCAAAACACGAGAGAAGCUCAUGAUCUCCUUCAAAGUUCAAAUGAAAAAUUCAAACGCUUAGAAUUAUAAUCUCGACUUUAGAAGAGACUUAUAGAUCAACUACUUGUUAUGACAAAAGAAAUACGUGCCCCGCAAAAAAACUGAAGUUAACUUGUCCAAGGUAAAGAGCUUGCCAAGAGGUAAGGAAAGGACUCCAAUUCAAGUCCUGGUCCCCAAACUUUGUCUAGUAGGUCGACUUUUUACUAGAAUGGCGUGCAUUUUACUUUAAUCACAUAACUUCCAGGGAAAGGGUCUUCACUUUCUUUUUGUUGAAGUUUGAUAUUGUUACAGAGAUAACCUCGAUGUUCUGAAAAAGUCAUUAGCAAAGUGUUUUUCAGAUUUCCUGUUCUUAGAAAGCAUGCUUUCCUAAGUUUUUCAGUCUACAGGUUUCCUUCAGUUUUCUUGACACAUGAGAUAUUUUGAUAACUGUUCUUUACCCUAAAAUAUUUGAUCGUAUACAGUGUCAUGUAAAUGCACAGUGUCAGUUUUAAUCCACCCUCUCGGCAGUCAGCAAACUUGUAACCAGAAAACCGGAAGCUACAACCGCUCUGGUGAUCAAUAGUACAGGUUUUUUGAAAUAGAACAACUGAGUAUUAGAAAUGGAUUUCUUUGGUUAAAGUAAUGACUAAUCACCUAGCAUAAUAGGUGCCAGAAAUAAGUUCUCCAUGACGAAUGGUUUUCAAGCUUCAUGGUUAGGCUAAAAUAGUUUAGGGACACUCCACAUUUGCAUAAGAAGGGUACAGGAAUAUUGCAGAUUCUUUAAAUUUACCCUUGAAAAGGGCACCUGAGCCUGUAUUCUCAAGUUGUCCUGCAUCCAGACGAGUCAGUUAUAAGCUUGAUGAAUCUCGCUUCAGAAUUCUUUCAUCAGCCACAAGUAAAUCGGUCAUUCAGGGUGUGGUCAGGGCAUCUAAAAGGAGAGAGGAUAUCUAGGAGGACCGAAGGUCCUGGUUUGCUUGGGACUGAGAAGUUUCCUGGACUGAUGAGUUCCAUGCUGCCUGGACCGAGGACAAUCCUGAGCAAGCUGGGACCAUUGGUACCUUACUCUGCGGUUCUGUGAAUUGUUAGGUUGCCUGUUUGCUGGUAAAUGAUGAUCUGUGUGUGAGAAUUUGGUCUGACACUUGCUUUAAUUUUACAAAUUACCUGAUAAUUUCGUUGAGGGAAACCUUAUAUUUAUAACACCUAUUCCUCACUGUUGGUGCAACCAGUAUAUUUUUUAAAAACCUGGUGGUUUUGUGGCCGAAUUGACCUAGGGGCAUAUGCAACAGAUUGAGAGGGGUGGAGAACACAUUUUACGUCAUACUGGUCUGGAUAUUUGUGUACCUAUAAAGUCAUAUAAAUGAAACCCUACACAAACACAAACAAACAAAAUGCAAAAACAUACAUAUACGUAACCUGUAAGAAAGAGGCAAAAAUUAUCUUAUGAUCUUGUGGCUAGCAGCCAUCAAAACCUUAACUCUUUAUAUUAUAUUGUAUUUAUAAAAAGUUUUAUAUUCUAAAAAGUUUAUAUUAUAAAUUUAUAUUAUAAAAAGUCUGUACAUGGAGGGAAACUUCAAGGGUCACACCAAGCAAGAUCUUGAGAAUUGUUCGAAAUGACUGAAAACCCCUUCACCCAGGUGUACAUUUACGAGACUACACUUAACCAUGACGAGCAGUUUACUAAUGUAUAGAAUAAUCUAUAGAUUCUAUAGAAUCACUGUAAUGUACACCCGAAACUAAUAUAUCAUUGCAUGUCAACUAUACUGGCUUUAAAAUUAAAUGUGAAAAAUAAAAAAAUGACUGAAACAAAGAUAGUAAUAUACAGUUUGGUUUCUUAGAACAUGAAGAAUCUCCCUUUUUAUAUUUAACAUAAGGAAAAAAAUACAAUUUGCCUUGCCUUUUCCCUUACAUAGUGAUUAUUUGCGUGGUGCUGAAACUUCCAAAAGAAUUACAGAGAAAGGCAAAAGCAAUGCUAAGAGAGUACAUUUUCAAAGAAGAAUGCUUCUUCUGAGGUGUCACGGCUGAGCCUUGGAGAACUUGUCAUUUUGUAGCGUGGAUAGUGUAGGUCCUAACGCACAAGCAUCGCUUGCCAGUAACCUAACUGAAUGUCUGCACUGCAUUUUAACCCAACGUGGCCCGACGUGGUCACUCUCAGAUGGAGUGAAGCUAUUCCCAGUGGUCUGCAGGGUCCUUUUGUUUGCCUGGAUCUUCCAUUAUUUUAUGAGCACAGUAUUGAGCAUGGAAUGCAACCGCCCACUGAAAUGGCAGGCCUUUCGUCUCAACACAGUGCUCUCAAAAUUAUUACAGAGAAGAGAUUAUGCUAAAGGUUUCACAGACACCGAAAGGCAGCCCAGCGGCAGCUAUACUCUACUUGCAAAUUAAAAUCCGAGCUGUGAAUUUCAACAAAUUAGAUGAAUUUGGCUAAUUGUCUCUGCAGUUCAUUACUGAUGAGUCACGAACUUAACAUAUUUCUGGCAUUUUCAGACUCUGGGGUAUCUUUUUAACAGGUACCUGCUGGGGCCAGACUGUAUUUCCAGACCAUUUUGCUAAGCAGGUCAUGAAAAGCCCUGGAAGGCCAUCCUUCUCAUCAUGGGCUUUUUGUCCAGCUACACUAUGAAAAGCAAAAUUAACACUCAGGCCACUAAUCUGAUCUUUUCCUCCCCCCCGCCCCUUUAGGGUUCUAUGAUACAUCCCAUACCACCAUUCCUGGCCUAACCACAAAGUCAUCAUCUGGGUUACUCACAUGAUCCUCUCAUGUCUUCAAUUCAUUUAGGCCUUUAAGACUGAAGGAUGAGCGGAUUUUGUGAGAGUUUCAGAUUCAGCCUCAUAGGGCUUAUCAUCUCAGAAAAAAGCAAGUAGGAUAAGGGUAAAAUCAAUCAUUAUCGGUCAGCGAUUGAGUUGGAAAGUUUAUUUCAAGGGAGAGAAUAGCUGGGCUGUUGGAGGUUUCUCACUCAAGGAACAGGAGUUUUUCUAUGCUUUCAGUAUGGGUUUCUAGUGGCAAAUCAGGGAAAUAGCCUUGGGUUCUGUGGGACAAUCUGGUGGAGAUCUGAAGUGACAAGCACGGGAAAGGAUGAGAGGAAAAUGGCCCCACCUCAUAGUGUCUCCCUCCUUCCUGAUUUCCAGCAACAAGAUGGAGCUAAAACCACCCAUUGCUACUUGUUCACAACAUAUUAUCUACUCCUCCAUGCACUCUCCUCAAGAGAUUUCUUCACCCCUUAUCGGCUUCCUGGGGGGUGCAUUUUAGCCAGAUUUCACUGGAUUUCAAUGGAUAGGGGGUGGGACGUUUCAUUCUAUAAGACCUGUUUGGAGCUUCUCAUCUUACAUAUGGCCCUGUUCAACUUUGGAUUUAGCAAGAAAAACAUGAGCCACCCAGCACACAUUUCAGAAAGAUCACCUAGUUAGGUUCACAACUUACUAACACAUACCAGGCAGAAAAAUGAAUUCCCCACCAACCAAAUAACUGCUCUUCAUUAACUGGGUCAGUCAACUCUAGAGAGCUUAGGUAAAUUAAGAACUAUAUACACAUAUAUUAUAAAGUGGAAGUUCUGAAGUCUAAUUUAAGAACACUCAAAUAUCUUUUUUUUUUUUAAAGUAAUCUCUACACCCAACGUGCAGCUCAAAUGCACAGCCUCCAGAUCAAGAGUUGCAUGCUCUCUGGCCGACCCAGCCAGGUGCCCGUCAAGUAUCUUUUUGAAUGAGCAGAACUGGAUAGUUCAGAGGUUACUCUAACUUUGAGCAUGCAUUCUCCUGUGACCUUGGCAAGGAGUGCUUUCCCUGGGUGAUUUCCAAAAUAUUAACAGGGCACAAAUUAUAGUGGACUCAACCACGCAUCAGCAAGACUUCCAGCUUUGAACACCAGGGUGCUGCACACAGCACGUGAGGCUUCAGAUCAGCCCUGCUGCCUCGGUGGUGGCCUCACUUGGCCGGGUGUACAGAAAACCUUGACUCAGUGUUUGUUCUACGAUCUGACUCAUUGUAACAUGUUGAUUGUCCCAAACAGGAACUAGAGACACAGUGUCCCAUCUCCAUCCCAGAGGUCAGGUGGGGCCAGCUCCCGCCUGACGCAUCCCAUGGGCUGAGCUUUUAGCUGUAAACUGCUGUGGAUGGUCUGGCUUCUCUCAGAGAUUGUGGGAUAGAAGGGGCCACCACAUUUUUUUCAGAGGUUUCAAAGGUUACUCAGUCUAUUUUAUAGACUCCCCCAAAGAUGGUUAUGAUGACACACAAAUUGUUCCUUCACAGUUUGAGCAAUCAUGAAAUACGUCCCAUAAUUCCUCACCAUUUCUGAGCUCUGGGCCAGUUCCAAAUAAUAAAAGCCAUCUUUCUCAGUGACUGCCUUUCUCUGCUAGUUGUGAGGGACAAAGGACAGGGCACCACACUGACUGCGUGAAAACGUAAGCCACGUCUACCAUGCUAUUGAUACUUUUCCUCUUCAAAAGCAGCGAUGUCCCGUGAAAGGUGACUCUCCAAAGUGGUUCUACCAGCCAUGUGGUCAGCUUUGGGGCUGGUGUUUCAACCAAGGAGAGGAAACGUAGGUAAACUCGAUUGGAAUAACAACCGGAAAAAUUGCACCAAAAGAGGUGAGGACAGAUCCAGAACCUUCCUGAUCGAUUCAGCUGGCAUCUGUGAGGACACCACUGGACCUCAGCUGAUGGAGUCCACUGCAGUCGUGACUCCAGAACCAUCUGCAGCUUCCACCUGAGAGCAUCCUUUCUGCCCUCAAAUCACUCCCUUUCCUUCUCACAUCUGAAAAUCUCACCAUAAUACAUAAUUCUUCCCUUUUCCUUAACUAACCUCAAAUGCUGCCAAUGAUUUUUCUGAAACGUCUCUUGAAUCUGUCAUGUUUGUCUAUCUCUGUGGCCACAGCUAGUCUUCUUAAUCCUGCCUUCUCUUUAUAAAACCCAUCUUCCCCUCUUGCUACCUCAGUGAUUGUAGUCUAAAACUUGGUGCUCCUACCUAAAUAAAUAUAUUUUCUCCAGGA
This is a long non-coding RNA of Felis catus (domestic cat), 7919 nucleotides long. RefSeq lists it as uncharacterized. The record is from RefSeq and is a predicted model, not a curated record. The transcript is spliced from 11 exons. Lineage: Eukaryota; Metazoa; Chordata; Mammalia; Carnivora; Felidae.